GAUGAACGCUGGCGGCGUGCCUAAUACAUGCAAGUAGAACGCUGAAGGAGGAGCUUGCUCUUCUGGAUGAGUUGCGCACGGGUGAGUAACGCGUAGGUAACCUGCCUGGUAGCGGGGGAUAACUAUUGGAAACGAUAGCUAAUACCGCAUGACAACAGUUAUUGCAUGAUAACUGUUUAAAAGGGGCAACUGCUCCACUACCAGAUGGACCUGCGUUGUAUUAGCUAGUUGGUGAGGUAACGGCUCACCAAGGCGACGAUACAUAGCCGACCUGAGAGGGGGAGCGGCCACACUGGGACUGAGACACGGCCCAGACUCCUCCGGGAGGCGGCGGUAGGGAAUCUUCGGCAAUGGACGGAAGUCUGACCGAGAGACGCCGCGUGAGUGAAGAAGGGUUUCGGAUCGUGAAGCUCGGUUGCAAGAGAAGAAAGAGUGUGAGAGUGGAAAGUUCACACUGUGACGGUAUCUGACCAGAAAGGGACGGCUAACUACGUG
This 495-nucleotide ribosomal RNA is filed under the name uncultured bacterium. Its description in RNAcentral is "partial 16S ribosomal RNA". It matches the Rfam family "Bacterial small subunit ribosomal RNA", at positions 28 to 507 of the family's 1533-position model. The record is from RNAcentral.